CUGCUGCUUUCUUCUCAUCUUGACCUGCUGGUUCACCCGCCGCUUCACUUCUCCCUGGAAGUGCCUCAGCCUCAUUGCCUUCCUCCUCUGUUGCUCCUUCAGCUCCUCCUCAACCUGAAACGCCGAAGCGAAGGCACGGCUCUGCUCGCGGGGGCCGCUCUCCACCCAGGCGCCCACCGGGGCCACUCGCAGACUCCUCUCGCCCAGCAGCGCCCGGCCUGUCCGUGGGGGUCUCGCCGGACGGCCCACGGCCCCCCGGGGCGCUCGCGGCCGCAGUCUGGAGGACGGCAGCAUCCGGGCACGGCUCCGGGCCUGCUCCGCCACUUCCGCC
This 331-nucleotide long non-coding RNA is filed under the name Gallus gallus (chicken). Lineage: Eukaryota; Metazoa; Chordata; Aves; Galliformes; Phasianidae. The record is from RNAcentral.